Long non-coding RNA from Centrocercus urophasianus (Greater sage-grouse), 2257 nucleotides. RefSeq lists it as uncharacterized. NCBI's taxonomy places the organism in Eukaryota, Metazoa, Chordata, Aves, Galliformes, Phasianidae. The transcript is spliced from 2 exons. The record is from RefSeq and is a predicted model, not a curated record.
UUUUAAGCUGAAGCCACAGAGGUGCAGUGUGUAAUAAGUAGGCAAAGUUUGCUCUGCAUUUCGAGUGCAUCAUUGUGCUCUAAGUAAUGCAGAUUUGGCUCCUUUAACCCUGAUCUCCUGGGGCUGAGCUUUAAGUGUUUGAACUUUAGUUGAAAGGAAUAUAUUGAUUAGGCUUUGAUUUAGUCAUUGCUUGCUGGAAAGAUACCAGGUAACAACUCGUAUCUGCCCAUUUAGAUUUUUAUUCAUUACAUGGAUUCCCCUCUCCUUCCCCUUUUCUUCCUCAACACUUUUCUGCCUAAAAGUCUGCAGUGCUUUGUGGAGAAAUAAAAGAAAAAGCAGCUGUCACACUGUGAACAUAAUUGAUUCAAUAAACAACAUUUUCAAGUCCCCUGGGAUGAGCCUCAGCGUCCUCGCUUAUGUCAAUUAGUGCUUUAUUCUGCUAAGUGUGGCACCUCUCCUUGAGAUGGAUGGGCCGAGGCAGUCAGCUCGUUGUCUUCGAGGAGAAGCUGUGAGAGAUGGACUGUUUGCUGUAGAUAGAAAAUACCCCGUUCAUUUGUUAUGGACAUGUGAAAGGAAGCUUUCCUGACCUAUUUGUUAAAGCUAAUUGUCUUUUUUCUUGGUUUUGUGGUUUUCUUUUUUCUCUGAAUGGCUCCGGCUGAGACCUUCUUUUUCUUUUGCUGCAGCAGAGAACAGCCCGGGUUAAGCCUUCGCCCAUCUCCGUUGCGGAUAACCUUAUGUCCGCAAUAUCGGAGCAAAGUGGAGCAGCAGAGCUGGCAAAUGGUGCUAUUCAGCGUGCAGGGCGAAGGUGUGGGAGAGGAGGGAAGCUUUAGGUUUUCUUCUACACAGUGACCGUGUUUUCUUUCUUCUGCUUGUACAACAAAUGCAGAGCUGCUUGUUUUGCACUACUGAAGCUUGCACUUGAAUCCAAAUCAAAACUGAGGAGAGCCUUGCUGCAAAACACCACGUCCAGCCCUGGCACGGAAGAGCACUUAACAAACAAAACAGCAAAGCUUCCCAUCCUGAGGGAAGCAGCUCAGUGCAUCCAAAUGGAGGUGGUGGGAAGCACCUGGGGCUGAACUGCCCUGCACCCCAACAAACCAACAACCCAAAUGGUGCUUUACUAACAGUUUAUUGUCUCACGGUUCCUUUUCCCUUCACAGAUCCGUUCUUGAGAUGAAACGCUCAUCCUGUGGUCCUCUGAUGGUGUCUGACUUUGUUCAGUAUUGUUUUCUUACAUUAUAGAGCUACUGAUGUGUAGAACUUCAAUCAUUGCAGACCCAACCACUUGCAAAGAAUACAAGCGAUGGCGUUUCCCUUCUAAGGAGGAGUGCAUUGAGAAGCAAGGAGCAGGGGCAGAACUGGAACACAGUGUGUGACAUAACUGAUUUGCUGCGGGAUCACAGCACCUUGGAACAGUGUGGGAGCUGCAAAGAGUCCUUUGUCCUCUCUGGUUCCUCUCUGAGAAGUCAGUGGUGUUUGGUGCCAUGCAGGCAGCAGGGAACCUGCAGAGAGUAAAUAUGGGAUCAAAAAAUGUUUUUUUUCUUUAGGGUGUUACUGUGUACCGCGGGGCUCCUCUUUCUGAUGUGAGAGGUACUGAAGCUGUGUGUAAAGUUGCCAUUUAUCUGUGCUUUUGUUCAGGGUAUUAACAUGAUGGAGAGGCUUUUUCUGGAGCAGCGUUGUUGACGGCCUGUGAGCUGUUGUAAAUGCAGCAUCCUUCUACAGGAGAAAAAGAACCUGCAUUGUUUCCUGGGAACAGAAUAUCUUCAUUGCCAUCGCGACACCAUGGCUGUUAUCUGAUCUUCAUUGGUACCAUUUUACUGAGGGGAGAGAAUUGCAUGUGUGGAGGUGGGGGAAAAAGGAGAAGACUGUAGACUGGAAUUGUGAAAUCACAGAGAAAAAAUGUAAGCUUGGGAAUGGCAUCUCCUUGUGAAUUUGGUGCACCAUCCCUAGGGACCGCAUUCGAUCAGGGAACGCGGAGCCCUGCUGCACAAACAGCCCUCGCUGCCAUGAGGAGCCCUGAGCCUCUCCAGCCCAUUGCUGUCUUUCCCGGAGGCACAAGCACAGCCCAUGCACUGCUCUGAGAUGGACUUCACUGCCCCAAAACAAAGCUCGACCUCAGCAGCGCAGUGGGGCUGCCGCUUCCUGCCUGUGUCAGCACUGCUCAUUAUUACAGCCCUGAUGGUGGUGUUUGGUUACCGUGCUCCCGCCAGUGUAAUUAUACCCAACUGUAAAGAUGUGCCUCGGGACAAGUUUUAAA